GCUGGGUAUGGUGGCCCAUACCUGUAAUCCCAGCAGCUUGGGAGGCUGAGGCAGGAGGAUCGUGAGUUCAAAGCCAGCAUCUGCAACUCAGCAAGGCACUUUGCAACUUAGUGAGACUCCAUCUGUA
This 127-nucleotide small RNA is filed under the name Marmota monax (woodchuck). Lineage: Eukaryota; Metazoa; Chordata; Mammalia; Rodentia; Sciuridae. The record is from RNAcentral.